RNAcentral lists this long non-coding RNA (1017 nucleotides) under Anser cygnoides (Swan goose). RNAcentral describes it as "lncRNA (ENSACDG00005016297.1)". Lineage: Eukaryota; Metazoa; Chordata; Aves; Anseriformes; Anatidae. The record is from RNAcentral.
CGUGUAUUUCCUACAUCCAACUGGAAACUGAAGCAAAGCGAACGUGUCCUGGUUAGGCAGGAUUGCUGGAUUCUGUACCAAAAAACAGUCAAAUUACACUCUUCUGAGAAGCUCUCCCACGCAGACCCAGCCAGGACAUUGUGUGAGCUUCUCUGGCAAAACCCCCCAUCGGCUGGGCAUCCGCCCACAGGACUGGGCGGCACAGCAGCACCCCAAGGGCACGCAGGUCGGGGCACAGGCUCGGCCUGCAGCGGACAGGCGAGAGAACCGCUCGCGGGUGUCACCCAGCGCCGCGGGGACACCGAGGCAGGCCGCUGCUCAUCCUCACUUCGGUUCCCAGACCCAGCAGCGAGCUGCGUGCCAAACAGCACGGCCACGAGCCCGGCCGGCCUCCCGCAGCCUCACCUGGGGCCGGGAGGGGACGACAAGAGGGGACAACAAGAGGGGACGACAAGCCGCGUUCCCCCCCACCCCCGAGCUGCUCCUGCUCACAGCGCUGCGACACGGGGACCGGCCGCGGGGCUGCCAGCCUCCAGCCUCCCCGGGGAGGACCUGGCCUCCGCUGCCCGUGCUCCUGCGGCCCCUCCAUCCCUCCCUCCAUGCCUCCAUCCCUCUCGGCCCCAAACCCACCGGCCCGGCCGUACCGGAGCGGCCCCGCUCGGCAGCGCCGUCUCCAGGCAGCGGCGCCCCGGAACCAAAGCGGCCGCCAGGAAGCGCCGUGCCCGGCCCGGCCCCGCUCGGAGCCCGGAGAGCCGGGAGCGGGCCCCCCCGUGUGGCCGCGGGGAUGGGAGCGGGGCCGGGCCGGCUCCUGUGUGGGGUCAGGGAGCCGCAGGAGGGCUGAGGUGGGAAGGGGCCUCCAGGGAUCUUCUGGUCCGGCCCCUGCCGCAGCAGGGUCACCCAGAGCGUGUCACACAGGAGCAGGGUCGCAUCCUGUCAGGUUUUGAGCGCCUCCAGAGGAGGAGGCUCCACAACCCCUCUGGGCAGACCUGUUCCAGUGCUCUGUCACCCAAACUGUAA